AGAAAUUUUCCCCAUUCACCAAGUGAAAUCAAAUCCCUGCUUCGUUAUCUCUCCUGCUGUUUCAUCUCCCCAAAUUUCCUACCCAUUCCAUUUACUCUUCUCCAGUUUCCCAACGUCCUCUCCUCGAAAUUUUCUGCCCAAUUGUCUGUCUGUGUGCAUUCCCACUAUUCUCUCUAUCUGAAUUUUUUCUUCUUGGAAGGAGGUGUUUUGAAAUUGAAAGCAUAUGUUUUUGAAUUUCAAAAUCAAAAUUUUGUGGAUCACUAAUCUGCCCACUCUAUUUAGAGGAAAUUUCAUCUGACCAUAGCUCCCUCCUCCUCUCUCGCCAAGCUCCACCACACCAAGGAAUUCGCGUCACCCUUUUCCGACCUAACCAGAAGCGGUCUUCUUCCUCGAGAGCUACUAAUUAGACCUCGCCGCUGCCGGUUUAACCUUCCUAGACGACUCCCAUAUCAACAACCUCCCCCACCUUUGCACGCGGAGAAUUUGAGUUGGGUUUUCAGUUUCAGCGGCAAAAUCUCCAGAGCCUACAGUUGAUUUCUACACCGUGGGAAAUGUGAAGCAUCAACAUGAAGCUAAUGUUGGAUGUUGAAAACCUUUCAAUGGAGUCAUUGAAAAGAGGAAUGGUUACUCCAUAGAUCAAUUUAAGAAUGGGGUCAUAGAGUCCAGUUACUGCUCAGUUUAUUUAAGCUGGAUUCAUUUCUCCUUUCAGAUUUUUGAUUCUUUUAGUUGCAGUGAAGAAAUCGGCAGAUUUAAUUAAGGUAUGGUGUUAUGUAUACACAUUUUCAAAACCAGGAUCCAUCUAUUAAUGGCUGGAGAAGCAAAGUGGAAUACUCUUGACAGAUGAUUUUUGUUCAUUGAGCAAGAAAAUGAAGAUUUUCAAUACAAGUUCUUGGAAAAUCUCAUCGAUUAUUUGGAGUACUAUUUUUGUGUAAUGGAAGGAGUGAUUUUGAGCUGAAUCCCUUCUCUUCUUUUGUCAUUAUUGACUUUCUUUGUUCCUCUUUAUUUGAUCUGAAUCACUUCUCUGUCAAAUCCUCAUCAAGAUUUAUAAAUUGAACUCCUUUAUCAAGAGAUUUUGAAAAUGCCCCUCAAACUAGGACGCUCUUCAUUGAUGUGCUUGGUUCUGGGCAUCUAGCUAACAAGUAGAAAAAAUCAUAUGACCUUUCUUUGGACCUUUCUUUGAUUAAGUGAUGUGUGUAAUUUUAUGUUUGGGAAAUGUGGCUUUGUCUAGAUCAUCACUAAAAGGGGGUGAGCUUGCCCCAUAGAAGAGUUUCUUGGAAAUCUGUAGAAGAGCUUCCUUUAAUGUUAUUAAUAAUAGUUAUGAUUUUUUUUACACGAUGUGGAUUGAAAUUAAAGUCUGGGGUCUUCAUUUUUGGCAGGUAGUUUAUUCAAAUGGAUUGGUCUGGUCUCUUUAAGUUCCAGAUUUUCUUUGCAGUUUUUGAUGAUUGAAGCAGCUUACUAAGGUGUCCGAAUAGGAAGGACAUUCAAGGUAUUCCAUGGGAGAACUUGAACAUGAUAGAAUGUGAUGGAAGAAUAUCCAUAUGAAGAUGUUGGUGUAGUUACAAACUCAACCAGAUAGUGGGAGAGAGAUUUGAUGUCUUUGUGAGCAUUGUGAGCUCCAAAAUCCCAUUCAAAGGAACUGGAAAGAAUAUAUUGGAGAUGACAUUCAAUAUUGUUUCUGCUGUCAAGGUCCAAAGAUUUCAAUUCAAUAACAUUUAAUUUUAUCAAUGUUAAGUAAGCUAACCUCAUUAUUUUUCUCUAAUCUCCAGUCUGCUAUUCAGAAGUGUUGCAUCUAAUUAAAAUCAAUGAUUCUGAACAGGAUGCAGGCCCGUAAGCAGAGGAAAGGAAGUGGAAUAUGUACAUGUAUACCUUAGUUUUGUUGGGAUCAGUAGUUUAUUGAACAUAAGUUUAUUGAGCAAGCAUAUCUCUAAAAUAUCUGCAUUUUCCCCAGCCUUAUUGCUGAUUAGUUUUGGGACUUAUAUCUAUCUUUUUUAUUUGUAGAACUUGCUAAGUCAACUUUCUGGUGCAGAUAAUGAUGAGUUUGAUGGAGAAAAUUAGAAUGCUUCUGCCUUCCUUCCACAGGUUGUCAUUGGAAAGAUGAAUGCUUAGUCCAUAGAGCAAUGUAAGAAGUUUGGGAAUUCGUCGUCGAAUGCCAUACUUUCUGGCUUUUCAAGGAAGAGAUGUUACAACAUUACAUCCAAAUAUGCAAGAACAAUAGACUCAUUAUGUUAAGUGAAAUUAGCUAAUGAAGUUUAUCAAGAAUGUUAGCUGUCACUGAAAUGGACUGAGAAGAUAAAGAACUAUCGUAGAUACUAAUGCGAUAAACAAUUCUUUGAGGCAGAUUAUUGAGGUGACACUUUGAUAUGAUGAAUUGAUGACAAUUUUAAAGGACCAAUGAUGAAAUAUGCGAUGUCACCAUGAUCUUUAGAGUUCGGAGGAUUGAGUUCCAUUUUGUAAGCAUAUUGUGACAAUUUUAACAACUUGAUUAACUUUCUUUAGGUGCCCACGUGUUUUUUAGCUUC
Long non-coding RNA from Lotus japonicus, 2519 nucleotides. RefSeq lists it as uncharacterized. The record is from RefSeq and is a predicted model, not a curated record. Lineage: Eukaryota; Viridiplantae; Streptophyta; Magnoliopsida; Fabales; Fabaceae. The transcript has 7 exons.